ACCCGCUGAAUUUAAGCAUAUAAUUAAGCAGAGGAAUAAACUGAACAGGAUUCUUUGAGUAAUGGCGAAUGAACCAGGAACAGCUCAAAUUGCAAACCUGAAUCAUUGAUUCGGGAUUGUGCCUUUGGGGAAUGUUGCCAAUGGCAAUGCACAUGUUCAUCUUUUGGGACAAGGUUGCAAUGAAGGUGGAACCCCUGGCCUGCGUGUGCAAUUUUCAUGUGAGGCAUGUUUCUCAGAGUCGCUUUCCUUGGACAUGUAGUGUUAAGUGGGUGGUAUACUGCAUCCAAAAUUAAAUGUGUGUUUGAGAUUGAUAGCUGACAAGUACCGUGCGGGAAAUGUGAAAAGAACUUUGAGAAGAAGGUUACAAGUACCUGAAGCAGCUGAAAUGUAAUUAGAUGAUGGGUGUAUGCUGCGUGCGAUUGCUGUGCUCGCAUGGCUUGCAUGGGCUGUGCUCUAGCGUGAGUACUGCUCAGCUUGUCGGGGGCCAGUGUGCCGCGCGUAGCAACAAGGGGCCAAUGGGGUUGACCGCCAUAUGCGUCUUUGCAGCUGCUUUUGCAAAUGUGUAUACGCAUUUCUGACAACCAUAUUGGCCAGCAUUGCUUAGCUGUGGUUUUGUUUGGCUUACUGACCAGACUGAAUUAUGCUAAGUGCAUCCCUUACAAAACCUCAUCAUGUGCCCCGUCUUGAAACACGGACCAAGGAGUUUAGUGCAUGUGCAAGCUCAUGGGAUGUGGCUGCUGGUGAAAUGAAGGUGAUGCUUGAUAUGUGUACAUCAACAACCAAAUGCUGAUUUGUGUGAAUUUUGAGUAUGAGCAUUUGCAGUAGGACCCGAAAGAUGGUGAACUAUACCUGUGAAAAAACAAUCCAGGGGAAACUCUGGUGGAGGCUUGCAAUGAUACUGACGUGCAAAUCGUUCGUCUUACUUGGGUAUGGGGGCGAAAGACUAAUCGAACCAUCUAGUAGCUGGUUCCUCCCGAAGUUUCCCUCAGGAUAGCUGGGAGUUGCAAGUUUCAUCAGGUAAAGCGAAUGAUUGAAGGACUUGGGGGCUUGAAGCCCUUGACCUAUUCUCAAACUUUAAAUGGGUAUGAUCCGUGGGUUGUUUUUAAACAAUGUGAUGAAUGCAAAUCCUAUGUGGGCCAUUUUUGGUAAGCAGAAUUGGCGAUGAGGGAUGAACCUAACGUCAGGAUAUGGUGCUAUAUUGCUCGCUCAUCAGAUACCAAAAAAGGUGUUGGUCCAUUUGAACAGCAGGACAGUGGUCAUGGAAGCUGAAAACUGCUAAGGAAUGUGUAACAACUCACCUGCCGAAUGGACUAGCCCUGAAAAUGGAUGGCGCUUUAGCGGGUGACCAAUGCCUAUCUGCUCGUGCAUUUGUAUUGUGAGCACAUAGGGGGGUACAGCAGUUGAUGAUGAAGCAUCUUGUGUGAACGUGUGUGGAGAAACUGUUAUUGCAGAUCUUGGUGGUAGUAGC
Molecule: ribosomal RNA, 1468 nt
Filed under: Spiniferites cf. bentori
Lineage: Eukaryota; Dinophyceae; Gonyaulacales; Gonyaulacaceae
Description: partial large subunit ribosomal RNA
Rfam family: Eukaryotic large subunit ribosomal RNA
Source: RNAcentral